UGUAAUAUUGGGCCCUUGUGCCUAUAAACCUUAUACAACUUUCANCAACGGAUCUCUUGGCUCUCGCAUCGAUGAAGAACGCAGCGAAAUGCGAUAAGUAAUGUGAAUUGCAGAAUUCAGUGAAUCAUCGAAUCUUUGAACGCACCUUGCGCUCCUUGGUAUUCCGAGGAGCAUGCCUGUUUGAGUGUCAUUAAAUUCUCAACCUUUAUCACUUUUUGCUGAUAAUGGCUUGGAUAUGGGGGUCUAUUUUGCUGGCUUCUUUACGGAUGGUCAGCUCCCCUUAAAUGCAUUAGCCGGUGCCCCGCGUGGACUGUCUAUUGGUGUGAUAAUUAUCUACGCCGUGGACAUCUGCAAUCAUAUGGGUUUGCGCUGCUUCCAACCGUCUGUUCAAUCAGACAACACAUGACAAUUUGACCUCAAAUCAGGUAGGACUACCCGCUGAACUUAAGCAUAUCAAUAAGCGGAGG
This 467-nucleotide ribosomal RNA is filed under the name uncultured Hebeloma. RNAcentral describes it as "eukaryotic LSU rRNA". The stretch from base 37 to 190 matches the Rfam family "5.8S ribosomal RNA". The record is from RNAcentral. Lineage: Eukaryota; Fungi; Basidiomycota; Agaricomycetes; Agaricales; Cortinariaceae.